Molecule: long non-coding RNA, 4367 nt
Filed under: Ovis aries (sheep)
Lineage: Eukaryota; Metazoa; Chordata; Mammalia; Artiodactyla; Bovidae
Description: lncRNA (ENSOARG00000025873.1)
Source: RNAcentral
AUGUACAGCUGGACACUGGUGACUCCCCUGUGUGUGUGGGGGUCCCAUGUUCCUCCCGGCACUGCAGUUUACCUGAUAGAUAAACCGAGACUCAGGGCACAUCGCCUGCCAGGCCACAGGGAAGCCAGGCUUGGCCGGUCCAAGUGGACACUCACCCUGUGCCCCUGGUCCCGAGCUCUCUGGGAAUCCGACGUGGCCCGAUGGCCCCCAGGGGCCCCUGCCUCCCGCUGCCCCAGCGCAGACCCCGCCCUCCCAGAGCAGCCAGCCCGCCGUCUCUGGUGUGGCUCUGUCUCACCCCCUCCCCGCCCCUUCCCGGUGCCACGUCCCACAGGAAGUCUCAGCAGCUGGGCUCACACACGCAGAAGCAGGCUCCCCGCGCGGCGGGUGGCUGGGGCGGCCAGCCGCCAGCCCAGCAGGUACGGGCCCCCAGACCCAACAGAGACCCAACCUGGGCAGGCAGCACAGAGCUGGGCCCUUGGAGCUUCCAGGAAAGGCCCCCACAGGUGGGUGGGGGCCAGGGAGUGUCCAAAACACACGCAUGUGCUCCGCCCACGACCCCCAAGCCCAGGACAAGGGAGGAAGACACUCCAGAGGCGCCUCAGGCUCCAUCAGACGCUAAUUAGAGCUCCGUGUGGUGCGUGCUCAACAGCAACAGAGGGGCAGCCGGCACAAACAUUUCGAAUGACACAGAAUUUGCGCUUAAUGGGCUGAAAUUCUUUAAGCUGAGAGCCCAGCUGAGCCAUUAUGCAGCCGAUUUGCAGGAUGGGGAGAACACCGCAUGGGAGCCGACAAGCGGGGCACUUCCCAUGACCAGAGGGGCAGCGGCCCCGUCCCUGGCCACCAGGGAGCCCCCGAAGCGUGGGAGCCCCAGCCAGGUGUAGACAGGACCCAGGUGCAGAGCCCAGGCUGCCGGACCUUCUCAGAGCACUGCUCGCCCUCCCCCCGCAGCAUAAGGACAGCCCCUUGGGGGACCCCUGCACACAGCAGUCUUCACUUGGUAGGUACACCGGUGCACACAGUAGGGCCACACUUCAAAUGGGGGUCACCCACUCACAGGGCCUCAGAUCAUGCACGGCUGGGAGUUCAGCCUGUGCGCACAACUGCGUCCUGCCCCGAGUCACGAAUGAACGGCGGCCUGAUCAGGACACGCGUGGACCAGGUGCACGGUAGGGACCUGCGGGCCCGCUGCUGCGGGAGGGCACCUCUCCUGGCCGCCACCGCCCGGCAGCCCCGGGCCCUGGGGAGCUCUGGCCAUGCUGGCUCCCCUCCAGCCGCCUGCCUUUGCAUCGAUCCUCUAAUAACUCGAUCCAUUACGCCGGAGCAGGAUUCUUGGAAACCGGCAGGAAAAGGAAGGCUUCUGCGAACGAUCUGAGUCAUUUUUUUUUAACAAUAGGGUGCCUCUCCCCUCGCCAGUGUGGCAGGCUGUCCACCACUCACUGUGCCCCUCGUGGGGAAGGGGCCCCAACGGCCUGGCCAGAGCCGUGACGACCCUCCCAGGGCUCUGGGACCCGUCCAGCUCUCCCCUCGAGUCCAGCCCGGCCCAGAUGCGGGCUCUCAUGGAGGAGUCACUCGCUGGUACUCCUUCUGGGAGGGAGACCGUCCACUCCCCACCUUGGCCAUGGAAAGAAGCUGAAUUUACACCUGGGUUUCCCGGGCUCCCAGCUCCUCAAAGCACAUGCCCUCUGGGGUGCAGGCCCCACAGGGCCAGGGUGACCAGCAGACUUCAGGCCCAGCCUCCAAGCAGGCUGAGCAAAUGGGCCAGGGCAGGUGGUCAGGGUCUGGAAGCACUAUCUCAUCUGCAAAGCGGGGAUCCCAGCGGCACCCCCUCCCCAGGGGGAGCCUGGAGCAUUCUCCAGCAGGUGAGUGCCGCUGUUCCAGGCUGGCGGUCCUGGCAGAGGGCAGGACCCACCCCACCCUCACUGGCGCCCAAGGGCCCUGCUGUCUCCAGCUCUUCUAUCAGGCCAGGGUGAGAGACUGACAAAACCCUACAAUGCCCCUUUUCCAGCUGAAUUUUUAUGGUUUGGAAAAUACAGACGUUUUUCAUGAAAGGAAAUGCUAUGGCAACACCUACUGAGUUUAUUAUUGUUUUAAAUUAAUGGCUAAAGAACGAUUUCUAAAUUUCCUCAACUUAAACUCCAAGAAGAGAAACAGCAGACAGAGGCCCCCUGCAGAGACCUCCUGGGGCCUCAAUCCAUCAGGCCCUGGGGUUCGGGGACCUGUUUCAGAGGCGGCAGAACAGGGUCCGGGCGCCCCACCAGCCUCAGAAGGAUGUCCCCUCCCUGCCCUGCCGGACACCCCAGGCCCCACCCCCAGGGGCCUUCCUCCUGGGCCCGCUUUAAGAAACCCCAGUCCGAAGCCAGUGCCUCCCCAGGUCCCCCUGGGUUCCAGUGGACACACCUAGGGGACCAAAGCACCUCUGGCCACACAAACAUGGUUCCCACACCCAGUGCUGGCCAGGGGGGCCCACCCGAUGUGUCCCCAGAUCCCCCCCGUCCUGCAUCUGUCAAGGCCUGAGGGAACCACCCCUGGGCUGGCUGGCCGGGCCGGAUGCACCUCUGCCCCACAAGGCCCUGGUUGGGGGUCACUCGGGGCUCAGCAGGACCCUCUCUGAGGAACAAAGCCCACCCUUCCCACCGAUGGACCUCCUGGGGCAGAGACCCCCGGCCCCCGGCCCCCCCCCGCCCCCCCCGGAGGAACAAAGCCCACCCUUCCCACCGAUGGACCUCCUGGGGCAGAGACCCCCGGCCACCUGGCCCCCACCUGCCCCACAAGGCUGCCUGCAGGCUGAAGGCAGACGUUUGUCUCCGGGGCCGCAGGAAGCCCGUGCCAAGGACCCCGGGCACCAUAACGAACCCUUUAAUUAGGGAACCCCGGGCUCCAGCACACGCCCCUGCUGCUCCCAUUCUUGGGCUCUCUCCACCAGCACAUGUGCUGCCCAGGGGAGGUGGCCCAGGCCCCGCUGCAGGAGAGGCAGCUCGAGGGUGGCCCGGCAGAACCCAGGGGUGCAGAAGUCCCUGUGGGGGGUAUCCUUUGCACUCACCGGAGACACGUUUCAGACCCCUGCCCCCGUUUCUAGAAGCUUCCAUGAGGCCAAGGAUCAGGAGGUGAGGGUUUGGCGGUUGGCUCUGGAUGUGGUGGACCUGGGCCUGGGCCAGCAGAUGAGUUGAGGGGGGCUUGCUCCCCGGAGGGGCGUUGUGGGGUCUGCAAAUCCUCCAGCUGGCCAGGACUGGCCCCCCCAGCCCAGGUGGCUCUGCCAAGGAAAGCUGCCACCAGCCUCCCAGGUUGGGCCUCACCUUCAUACCCCCUGGGGGCCCCCGGGAUGCCUGACGCCCCAAACACGCUCACAAAGCUCCACAGGCUCCCAGAGUGACCAAACGCUGCCUCUUGUGGCGUGAGGGCUACACUCAGCCCAGUUCCCUCCUGGCCAUCAGUUCCGAGCAUGUCACCCCAAAGGCAAGGGGGCACCAGGGGACGAAGAUGAAAUACACAAGUUCACACAGAAGCGGGUGCUGACGAGGGUCCUGGCCAGCAGAGGGUCCUGGCCUGCCGACGCCCUGCCCAGCUCCCUCCAGAGGACGUUCAGGAAGGGGCAGCAAGACAGGGCGUACCCAGUCGGCAUGGCAACCAGGAAUCCAGCCCGACCUCAGCCAGACCAUUAUGGCUAGAGAGUGAGGCGUAUUUUCUAAUUAAAGUGGGAGAGGUGACAUUGAUCCUGAGUUGGUCGUUAAUGAGGCGGGGGACCUGCAGGGGGCCAGGCAGGCCUGUUUUUCCCACCAGGCUCUCCCCCCGCCCCCCAAGCCUCCCUGCCUUCUCCAGUCCCUCUUUUAAGGUAAAACUCAGACCAGGCCACAGCUGAGUCUACCCGGCUUCAGAUUCCACACUGUGCCGGCCCAGAAAAAGGCCCGGAAGGCGUAGGGAGGGGGCCGCCCCCUGUGGAGGGCGGGUGGCAGCCAGCUGGCGGCCCAGAGAUGCCCAUCCAGGAGGCCACCACGGGACUGGCAGGGUUGGGGGUCCAGAGGGGAGCCCCCAGCAGUGCCCACCAGGCAGCUGGAGCACGGUGGAGGUGGGAGGCGCCAGGGAGGGGCGCGGGGGGGCACUGACUCUCCUCGCCCGGCCUCCAGAGCUCUGCAGAUAAACAGUCUAAAUUAGGAAUUAAAACAUCGUUCGCUCCCACCAGCAGGCAGGCCAGCCGUAAUUCAAACGUGCAAGAAACACCCCGGCCUCCUCCCGGAGCCCCAGAUUUCCCAGUGUGGGUCUGCAGGGUCGGCAGGCAGAGGUCAAGGUCAAGUUCGAGCACGGCACAGCCUGCUCUGCCCCUCCUGGGGCCCGGCGGGGGCCUCCCCAAGCCAACACGCUCUGCCGGGGCC